AGGACUGUCCAACCUGAGAAUGGUGAGUCCAGGGUCCAUCUCAGGCUCGUCAGCCCGUG
Molecule: microRNA precursor, 59 nt
Filed under: Dasypus novemcinctus (nine-banded armadillo)
Lineage: Eukaryota; Metazoa; Chordata; Mammalia; Cingulata; Dasypodidae
Description: microRNA dno-mir-1388 precursor
Source: miRBase by way of RNAcentral